CUGACCCGUACUGAUAUACCACUGAUCACACAUCCAAUCAAGGGCUUCCUGGAUUGUCACUACGCAUGAGUGCAACAGUGAUGUAUGCUAACUCGAUGCUCGUGCUCCUGCCUGCGUUGCCGACUUGACCAAAAGGAGCAAGGAACUGGAUCUCCGGUUCUUCUUGAAUGGCAGUUAGGCUGCCCACUAAUCCAGAUCCUUUCUUCUCUCUCAUGCAAGACCAGAAGAUUCUUCAGACUGGAUCAUGGACACCUAUUACCCAGGUAAGA
Long non-coding RNA from Bufo bufo (common toad), 269 nucleotides. RefSeq lists it as uncharacterized. The transcript has 3 exons. Lineage: Eukaryota; Metazoa; Chordata; Amphibia; Anura; Bufonidae. The record is from RefSeq and is a predicted model, not a curated record.